ACACUCCUGCGGGAGGCAGCAGUGGGGAAUAUUGCACAAUGGGCGCAAGCCUGAUGCAGCGACGCCGCGUGGGGGAUGAAGGCCUUCGGGUUGUAAACUCCUUUCGCUAGGGACGAAGCUUUUUUGUGACGGUACCUAGAUAAGAAGCACCGGCUAACUACGUGCCAGCAGCCGCGGUAAUACGUAGGGUGCGAGCGUUGUCCGGAAUUACUGGGCGUAAAGGGCUCGUAGGUGGUUUGUCGCGUCGUCUGUGAAAUUCUGGGGCUUAACUCCGGGCGUGCAGGCGAUACGGGCAUAACUUGAGUGCUGUAGGGGUAACUGGAAUUCCUGGUGUAGCGGUGAAAUGCGCAGAUAUCAGGAGGAACACCGAUGGCGAAGGCAGGUUACUGGGCAGUUACUGACGCUGAGGAGCGAAAGCAUGGGUAGCGAACAGGAUUAGAUACACUAGUAGUCCCAUGA
This 459-nucleotide ribosomal RNA is filed under the name uncultured organism. RNAcentral's name for it is "partial 16S ribosomal RNA". It matches the Rfam family "Bacterial small subunit ribosomal RNA", at positions 333 to 800 of the family's 1533-position model. The record is from RNAcentral.